GACAGAGGGUGCAAACGUUUGUUCGGAAUUACUGGGCGUAAAGCGCGUGUAGGCGGCUUUGCAAGUCGGGUGUGAAAGCCCUCAGCUCAACUGAGGAAGUGCGCCCGAAACUGCAGAGCUUGAGUGCCGGAGAGGGUGGCGGAAUUCCCCAAGUAGAGGUGAAAUUCGUAGAUAUGGGGAGGAACACCGGUGGCGAAGGCGGCCACCUGGACGGUAACUGACGCUGAGACGCGAAAGCGUGGGGAGCAAACAGG
This 254-nucleotide ribosomal RNA is filed under the name uncultured bacterium. RNAcentral describes it as "partial 16S ribosomal RNA". It matches the Rfam family "Bacterial small subunit ribosomal RNA", at positions 524 to 776 of the family's 1533-position model. The record is from RNAcentral.